GGCCCCUCCAGACGAUGGCCAUUCCUGUUGCCUUGGUCCGCAGGAACGAUGGGUUAUGCAUGAACUUUGUAGAACAUGGCCUUGUCUUCACCAACGCGGAGGAGAGCCCGUUCGGUUCCAGAGAGGAUGCUGCCUCAUCUCGUCUCUAAAAGAGGAGGAAGGGGAGCAGGUCCCUUCACGUUCUCUGGUCUCAGCUGAGAACUCUCCCUGGAAGUAGCGGGCCGUGAAAUGUUUCACAAGUGACACCAGUGAUGCUGUUAAACAAGGACAGUCCGGUUCAUGGAUUGUGACAACGCACGCUGACAUCAAGCAGACCCUGCCGUCAGGUACAGAGGGCACCACAGUGACCAGGAACUGCUGUCCUUUCAUACCAGGUUUUAGGAGACUUUACCAGAAGGAAUGGAAAAUGCUGGUGGGCAGUAAGAUUGAAACAGCAUCUGAGGACUGGUUCUGCACAAAACCUUAAAUUCUUCAAGGACUUUGACAUUUGUUUAUUCUUGUAACAAAUUAAAACCUAUCCUGUGUGUUGGUUAGAGAUCUUCAAACUGUAAAUACCUUGAGGCAGGAGUGAGGUUUUUAUCUUCUAAAGGACAGGCCCCUACUCUCCUACGUAAUGAGUUUCUAAAAAUGGAUGUGAGCACCAAUCAAUAUUUCUCUGGUUGUUAAAGUCAAGAAUAAAAUGGUAUUUUUAAGCUUG
RNAcentral lists this long non-coding RNA (697 nucleotides) under Pan troglodytes (chimpanzee). RNAcentral describes it as "lincRNA". The record is from RNAcentral. Lineage: Eukaryota; Metazoa; Chordata; Mammalia; Primates; Hominidae.